AAUGAAUUGCCUGAUUAAAGGAGUAUCUUGAUAGGAUAAAUCAUGUAAUUUUAUUACAUUCAUUAC
RNAcentral lists this transfer RNA (66 nucleotides) under Geron pallipilosus. RNAcentral's name for it is "tRNA-Ile". The record is from RNAcentral. Lineage: Eukaryota; Metazoa; Arthropoda; Insecta; Diptera; Bombyliidae.